Molecule: unclassified non-coding RNA, 282 nt
Filed under: Hevea brasiliensis (rubber tree)
Lineage: Eukaryota; Viridiplantae; Streptophyta; Magnoliopsida; Malpighiales; Euphorbiaceae
Source: RNAcentral
GGUUAAAUCAAAGCAAGCUUGGCAAUUAUACAAAUUCAGUUAUCAAAUUAAAAGAACUCGACCCACAAAUUUUACCAUAAAUAUCUAGCUCUUGCUUUGCUCCUGGUAGUUCUGCUUCAUUUAAGUAUAGGAUGCAAUUAAGAAAUGAGAUAGUCAUUACCUAUAUAAAUUGCUCGUAGUCAUACCCUUUUAAGAAAUUUUCAUUUAUCCGCAAAUUACAUGUAAUAGGCUUACCGUUUAAACAGUAAAGAGAGCAUAUGAUCAUAAUAAUAAUAAUAAUAA